Molecule: transfer RNA, 72 nt
Filed under: Ictidomys tridecemlineatus (thirteen-lined ground squirrel)
Lineage: Eukaryota; Metazoa; Chordata; Mammalia; Rodentia; Sciuridae
Also listed under: 1 other name
Description: Spermophilus tridecemlineatus (thirteen-lined ground squirrel) tRNA
Rfam family: tRNA
About the family: Transfer RNA (tRNA) molecules are approximately 80 nucleotides in length.
Source: Rfam by way of RNAcentral
GGUUGUAUAGCUCAGUAGUAGAGCUUUUGCCUCACAUGCAUGAGGUCCUGGGUUCAAUCCUCAGCACCACAU